RNAcentral lists this ribosomal RNA (320 nucleotides) under uncultured eukaryote. Its description in RNAcentral is "partial 18S ribosomal RNA". It matches the Rfam family "Eukaryotic small subunit ribosomal RNA", at positions 1470 to 1796 of the family's 1831-position model. The record is from RNAcentral.
CCCUUAGAUGUUCUGGGCCGCACGCGCGCUACACUGACGAAUGCAACGAGCUUAUAACCUUGGCCGAAAGGUCUGGGUAAUCUCCAAAUUUCGUCGUGAUGGGGAUAGAUUAUUGCAAUUAUUAAUCUUCAACGAGGAAUGCCUAGUAAGCGCAAGUCAUCAGCUUGCAUUGAUUACGUCCCUGCCCUUUGUACACACCGCCCGUCGCGCCUACCGAUUGAAUGGUCCGGUGAAAUCUCGGGACGGCGGCUUGGUCGCUUGCGUCCGACUGCUGAAACUUGAUUAAACCAUAUCAUUUAGAGGAAGGUGAAGUCGUAACA